AGUGAACGCUGGCGGUAGGCCUAACACAUGCAAGUCGAACGGCAGCACAGUAAGAGCUUGCUCUUACGGGUGGCGAGUGGCGGACGGGUGAGGAAUACAUCGGAAUCUACUUUUUCGUGGGGGAUAACGUAGGGAAACUUACGCUAAUACCGCAUACGACCUACGGGUGAAAGCAGGGGAUCUUCGGACCUUGCGCGAUUGAAUGAGCCGAUGUCGGAUUAGCUAGUUGGCGGGGUAAGGGCCCACCAAGGCGACGAUCCGUAGCUGGUCUGAGAGGAUGAUCAGCCACACUGGAACUGAGACACGGUCCAGACUCCUACGGGAGGCAGCAGUGGGGAAUAUUCGACAAUGGGCGAAAGCCUGAUGCAGCAAUGCCGCGUGAGUGAAGAAGGCCUUCGGGUUGUAAAGCCCUUUUAUUGGGGAAGAAAAGAAGUAGAAUAAUACCUGGAUGUUUUGACGGUACCCAAAGAGAAAGCACCGGCUAACUUCGUG
Molecule: ribosomal RNA, 492 nt
Filed under: uncultured bacterium
Lineage: Bacteria
Description: partial 16S ribosomal RNA
Rfam family: Bacterial small subunit ribosomal RNA
Source: RNAcentral